GGUGGAGAGGCUGGCUGGGCUCCCGGGUGUUGGGGCUCCGGCACAGCCUCAGAGCUUUGGGCUCCAGCCUGUGAACAAGCCAGAGCUGAGGACCGUUUUGGGGCAGGAAAGCACCCACGGGAGAAACUCGAGUUGGAGGCAGCAGAGGAAGCACAUGCCCCAGGGCGCCCGAGAGCAGCAGUCACCUCCCACUCCCAAGCCAGCUGCGUGUCCUCGGGCAGCCCCUCGCCCGCUGAGCCCCGUGACCUUGGCCUGUAAAGUGGCACUGAUCGUAAACUCACAGGGUCACGGGAGGUGGGGUGACUUAAUGCCCAUCGGUCCUUUCUCCCGGCCUGAGGCGCUUCAUGGGCACCUGGUACCACCCGGGGCCUCCAGCAGGCCGCGUUUAAGCCUCGCCUGUCCCUCGACCGGCUGAGUCGUGCGCCCCUUCCGGGCCUCAGUUUCCUCAACGGUACCACGGGGAUAACAGCCCCGACUUCAGAUCUGAGUAAGAAAAUGAACUCUGCAGUGCUGCUCCUGCUGUCCCGGAGUCAAAACCAAGCUCUGCAGAGCACACGACGCGUCCCCCAGCGCCCUGCUGGACCGGCCCCUCACCUCGCCUCCUCCCCCGGCUCUGUUCACACCGCCCGUGCUGGUCCCCCGGCCUGGAGCGCCUCUCCCAGGGUGCCAGUGAGUUAAGGUAGAACGCUGUGCCGUCUUCAGUGUUGCUUAUCGUUAGAGGACUUUUUAUUUCCAUUUCAGGUAAUUUCUGAUCCUGUUUAUGCGUGUCUGCAGGCGGGUGCACAAGGGUUUUUAGCUCAGGCUGCAUUUGGGUGUGGCGAUUUUCUUUUUGCUAUCAAUCGCUCAAUCAUCAAAAUUAGACUUGGAAAAUUAAAUACAAGGAAAGAAUGUAUAGCAUUUUAGGUUUUUUCCCCUUGAACAUUUACUUUUGCAGAAGGAGGCCUUUCUCCUAUAUAGUUUUCAUUUAGAGCAGAAAAAUGUUUUGUUCUUCACUGUUGAAGGAUGUUUUUUAGAGACAAGCAAACGUGAAAGCAUGAGAACUGCCACCUGGAGCCAGCACUGCCGUCCAUCCAGCCCAGGAAACGACCUUUAACUCAAAUCUUCCCUCAGCUGUUCCAGUGGACACUCACCUCUAGCUUCCCCAGGGUGGGGCGGGAUGGGGGGAAAGCACUGCUCUUUGACCCAGUAUUUCAACUUUGGGGAAUUUAUCUGAGACAUACACUUGCAUAUGUGUAAAUUAGCAGAUUGUACCGAUUGCAGUAUUAUUUGUAAUAGCAAAAGACUGGAAACAACCUGAAUGUCCAUCUGUAAGAGACAGGUUAAAUGACUUUUUAAACAAUAGAAUACUACACAGCCAUGAAAACAGACCUUGGUUACGUGUGACAGCGUAGUGGGAAAAAGGAAGCAGGACGCAAAAGAACAUUUACGCUAUGAUUCUCUUUGUAUAAAGAAUAAAAUCUGUUAAGGUAAAAACUAAACUAUAUUGUUAGAGAUGUUUACAUAAGUGGGAAAACUAUAAAGAAAGCGAGGACAUAAUUACUGAAAAAGUUAGGACAGUGUUACUUCUAGAGAGAGGGAGGGCGUUUGGAGGAUGCUUCUCUAGGGCUGGCAGUGUUUUUAUGUCUUACCUGGAUGGUGGCUUUAUAAUUAUUUUUUAAAUUGUACAUAAGUGUUUUGUGCAGUCUUUUGUAUGAAUGGGGUCUCUCAUGAUGUAAAACUAUCACAGUCCCCCCAAACAGUGGAAACUAUAUAGUUAUUAAAAAAGAACAAGACAGCUCUAUGUGGGUAGGCAUGGGAUGGAUUUAGGGGGGAGAAAACCAAAGAGAAGUACGGUGUGUUUAAUAUGCUACUUUCUGGGUAAAAUUAAAAAAAAGAAUAUAUCUGCCUCUAUGCUUUUGUCUGCUUAGACUAUGUCUAGAAAAAUCCCAAGAGUCAGGAAACAGGGAACUGGACAGUUGUUUCCCUUUGUGUACCUUUUGGAUUUCAUACCCUGUGCAUAUAUUACCUAUUCAAAAAAUAAAGUAAUUGUUAAAAACU
This is a long non-coding RNA of Hippopotamus amphibius kiboko, 2037 nucleotides long. RefSeq lists it as uncharacterized. The transcript has 2 exons. NCBI's taxonomy places the organism in Eukaryota, Metazoa, Chordata, Mammalia, Artiodactyla, Hippopotamidae. The record is from RefSeq and is a predicted model, not a curated record.